Lycium ferocissimum is the source of this 869-nucleotide long non-coding RNA. RefSeq lists it as uncharacterized. NCBI's taxonomy places the organism in Eukaryota, Viridiplantae, Streptophyta, Magnoliopsida, Solanales, Solanaceae. The record is from RefSeq and is a predicted model, not a curated record. The transcript is spliced from 2 exons.
AAGGAAAAAAGGGGAUAGGCACAGAUGUAGAGAAAGAGAAACGGACAGAUCCCAAAGAUAAGAAAAAACAUCAUCUUCUUCAUUCUUUUUUUUUACUACUCACCAGAAACACCACUUCCACCGUGACCCAUUGUCCCGCCAUCCCUUUCCACCAUCUCCACCAUAACCCGUUACUACUCCUAUUCACGCCACUAUCCAUACACCUACAAAACCCCAUUGAUAAUCACCGAAAAAAUCACAAAAAACAGCCACAAACUCAUAGAAAACUCUAUUACAACACCACCUUCAACCUUAGUGUUCUAUUGAAAUAGCUUUUGACGGAAGUCAUGUUUCUAUAUUGAAGCCUUCUCGUCGUCAGUUGGGUUUUCCGUCGAGGUCUCUACUUGAGAUUUAAGAUCCAGUCGGUGGUCAUGUUAGUCUUGUUAGAGGUACAAAGGCGUGAAUUUUUCCUUGUUUCAACGAGAUUCUCAAUUUGAAGUGGAUUCUGUUGCUUUAUGGGAGGGGUUGAUUUCGAAUUGAAUGAACUUGGUUUUAGGUAUUGAGAUGGAUUAGGAUACAAAUAUUUUAAAAGUUUAUUAUUUCAUUCGUUUGGGGGUAGGAAAAUACAUAGGUCCGUUUGAUUACUUGCUUACUUUGAAUAGCUUGUUUUUGUUUUGGUUUUCAAAGUUAUGUAUUCAUUCCCGGGUGGGAUGUCCCGGAAGAAAUUAAUGUACAAAUGGACGCCGUUCCUAGAGAAGACCCCGGGAUGUCAGGGAUAGCUUAGAAUAGGUUAGCAUAGGAUAGUAUAGGUUUAUUUUAUCGCAGUUUUCUUUUAUUUUGGGUUGUAAUAAUUCGGACUAUAUAUUUGAGUUUUCUCGUGUGUGCGCUUA